GACGAACGCUGGCGGCGUGCCUAAUACAUGCAAGUAGAACGCUGAAGGAGGAGCUUGCUUCUCUGGAUGAGUUGCGAACGGGUGAGUAACGCGUAGGUAACCUGCCUGGUAGCGGGGGAUAACUAUUGGAAACGAUAGCUAAUACCGCAUAAGAGUAGAUGUUGCAUGACAUUUGCUUAAAAGGUGCAAUUGCAUCACUACCAGAUGGACCUGCGUUGUAUUAGCUAGUUGGUGGGGUAACGGCUUACCAAGGCGACGAUACAUAGCCGACCUGAGAGGGUGAUCGGCCACACUGGGACUGAGACACGGCCCAGACUCCUACGGGAGGCAGCAGUAGGGAAUCUUCGGCAAUGGACGGAAGUCUGACCGAGCAACGCCGCGUGAGUGAAGAAGGGUUUCGGAUCGUAAAGCUCUGUUGUAAGAGAAGAACGAGUGUGAGAGUGGAAAGUUCACACUGUGACGGUAUCUUACCAGAAAGAGACGGCUAACUACGUG
This 495-nucleotide ribosomal RNA is filed under the name uncultured bacterium. RNAcentral's name for it is "partial 16S ribosomal RNA". It matches the Rfam family "Bacterial small subunit ribosomal RNA", at positions 28 to 507 of the family's 1533-position model. The record is from RNAcentral.